This 229-nucleotide unclassified non-coding RNA is filed under the name air metagenome. Its description in RNAcentral is "partial contains small subunit ribosomal RNA, internal transcribed spacer 1, and 5.8S ribosomal RNA". The stretch from base 1 to 46 matches the Rfam family "Eukaryotic small subunit ribosomal RNA", at positions 1786 to 1831 of the family's 1831-position model. The record is from RNAcentral.
AAGUCGUAACAAGGUCUCCGUAGGUGAACCUGCGGAGGGAUCAUUACUGAGCGAGGGCUUCCAGCCCGACCUCCAACCCUUUUGUGAUUCGGACCGUGUUGCCUCGAGGGCGACCCGGACGCUCCGGCGCCGGGCCCCUCGGUGGACCCAUCAAAAACUCUUGCAUCCUUGCGUCGGAUAUACAAGUUUAAAUAUCUUAAAACUUUCAACAACGGAUCUCUUGGUUCUG